UGAAUACGAGACGCUAAGGCGUCGAAGUAGUGUAUGUCAUACUUCCAAGAAAAGCUUGCACUGUCAUAGAUAAAAAACGCCUGUACCAUAACCGACACAGGUGGGUAGGUAGAGUAUACUAAGGGGCGCGAGAUAACUCUCUCUAAGGAACUCGGCAAAAUAACUCCGUAACUUCGGGAGAAGGAGUGCCUUAUUCGUAAGGUUGCAAUAACAAGAUCCAAGCAACUGUUUAUCAAAAACACAGGUCUCCGCUAAGUCGUAAGACGAUGUAUGGGGGCUGACGCCUGCCCAGUGCCAGAAGGUUAAAGAAGUUGGUUAGCAAUUGCGAAGCUGAUAACUGAAGCCCUGGUGAACGGCGGCCGUAACUAUAACGGUCCUAAGGUAGCGAAAUUCCUUGUCGGGUAAGUUCCGACCCGCACGAAAGGCGUAAUGAUUUGGAUACUGUCUCGGAGAGGGGCUCGGUGAAAUAGACUUGUCUGUGAAGAUGCGGACUACCUGCACCAGGACAGAAAGACCCUAUGAAGCUUUACUGUAACUUGAAAUUGAAAUUGGACUUUAUUCGCGCAGUAUAGGUGGGAGGCGUUGAUUAUAAUCUUGUGGGAUUAUUGGAGCCAUCAGUGAGAUACCACUCUUGUAAUGUUAGAUUUCUAACUUUGAAUCAUUAUCUGGUCAAAGAACAGUUUCAGGCGGGCAGUUUGACUGGGGCGGUCGCCUCCUAAACGGUAACGGAGGCGUACAAAGGUUUCCUCUGAACGGUUAGAAAUCGUAUCUAGAGUGUAAAGGCAUAAGGAAGCUUGACUGUGAGACCUACAAGUCGAGCAAGGACGAAAGUCGGUCUUAGUGAUCUGACGGUACUGAGUGGAAAGGCCGUCACUCAACGGAUAAAAGUUACUCUUAGGAUAACAGGCUGAUCUCCCCCAAGAGUUCACAUCGACGGGGAGGUUUGGCACCUCGAUGUUGGCUCAUCGCAUCCUGGGGCGGUAGUACGUCCCAAGGGUUGGGCUGUUCGCCCAUGAAAGCGGUACGCGAGCUGGGUUCAGAACGUCGUGAGACAGUUCGGUCCAUAUCCGGUGUAGGCGUUAGAAUAUUGAGAGGAGCCUUCUUUAGUACGAGAGGACCGAGAAGGACAUACCUCUGGUGUACCAGUUAUCGUGCCAACGGUAAACGCUGGGUAGCUAUGUAUGGAGUGGAUAACCGCUGAAAGCAUCUAAGUGGGAAGCCCACCUCAAGAUAAGUAUUCUCAUC
This 1245-nucleotide ribosomal RNA is filed under the name metagenome. Its description in RNAcentral is "bacterial LSU rRNA". It matches the Rfam family "Bacterial large subunit ribosomal RNA", at positions 1564 to 2818 of the family's 2925-position model. The record is from RNAcentral.